CCUGCACCGACUGCAGUCCGGUUAUGCAACGCAGUCGGAUUUUAUUGGCCUGUCCGAGGGGGAGACACCGGUCCGCCCAUCGCAGUUUACUGCCUCAUUCAUGGAUCAGAGGAGAGUAACCAAACUGCAUCCACUGGAUUGGAUAGUUUCACUGGAUCAGGAUCCUUGCUGCACUGGGCAGGACAUGAGAAAUUGUGAUCGCCACAGGAGGAGGAUCUGAAGACCAUCUUGUACAGGGGACUUCUCUUCUCUUCAUGUUCCGUCCUUUACAGGGUUGGAGGAUAUGGUAGCUCUCCACGUACUUCUAUUUUCAGCUGUUCUUACUGCCUCACUGUACUGCAUUUCUGUCCACUCCUUUAUAUUGUCUGUCCACAUUGCUCUUGGUCGUCCUCUUUGCCCUCUUCCAUCUAUUUUUUCCUCUAAUAAUAUUCUUGAUAUGUUAUUUUUUCUUAUGAGAUGACCAAAGUACCUGAGUUUUCUGAGUCGUAAUAUGUGCUCUAAUUGUGUGCUCUUAUUUUUUA
Molecule: long non-coding RNA, 521 nt
Organism: Acanthochromis polyacanthus (spiny chromis)
Lineage: Eukaryota; Metazoa; Chordata; Actinopteri; Pomacentridae
Exons: 2
Source: RefSeq, a predicted model, not a curated record